GAAAUGCGAUAAGUAAUGUGAAUUGCAGAAUUCAGUGAAUCAUCGAAUCUUUGAACGCACAUUGCGCCCUUUGGUAUUCCGAAGGGCAUGCCUGUUCGAGCGUCAUUAUAACCACUCAAGCCUUCGCUUGGUAUUGGGGUUCGCGGUCUCGCGGCCCCUAAAAUCAGUGGCGGUGCCUCUCGGCUCUACGCGUAGUAAUACUCCUCGCGAUUGAGUCCGGCAGGUUGCCUGCCAGCAACCCCUUAUUUUUACAGGUUGACCUCGGAUCAGGUAGGGAUACCCGCUGAACUUAA
RNAcentral lists this unclassified non-coding RNA (293 nucleotides) under uncultured Ascomycota. RNAcentral describes it as "sequence contains ITS1". The stretch from base 1 to 105 matches the Rfam family "5.8S ribosomal RNA", at positions 50 to 154 of the family's 154-position model. The record is from RNAcentral. Lineage: Eukaryota; Fungi; Ascomycota.